Molecule: ribosomal RNA, 432 nt
Filed under: uncultured bacterium
Lineage: Bacteria
Description: partial 16S ribosomal RNA
Rfam family: Bacterial small subunit ribosomal RNA
Source: RNAcentral
AACGAACGCUGGCGGCAUGCCUAACACAUGCAAGUCGAACGAGACCUUCGGGUCUAGUGGCGCACGGGUGCGUAACGCGUGGGAACCUGCCCUUAGGUUCGGAAUAACUCCCCGAAAGGGGUGCUAAUACCGGAUAAUGUCUUCGGACCAAAGAUUUAUCGCCUUUGGAUGGGCCCGCGUUGGAUUAGCUAGUUGGUAGGGUAAAAGCCUACCAAGGCGACGAUCCAUAGCUGGUCUGAGAGGAUGAUCAGCCACACUGGGACUGAGACACGGCCCAGACUCCUACGGAAGGCAGCAGGGGGGAAUAUUGGACGAUGGGCGAAAGCCUGAGCCAGCAAUGCCGCGUGAGUGAUGAAGGACUUAGGGUUGUAAAGCUCUUUUACCCGGGAUGAUAAUGACAGUACCGGGAGAAUAAGCUCCGGCAAACUCCGU